UAGUAGAUAGAAGCACUAGGCCUCAGAACAU
Molecule: non-coding RNA, 31 nt
Filed under: Mus musculus (house mouse)
Lineage: Eukaryota; Metazoa; Chordata; Mammalia; Rodentia; Muridae
Source: RNAcentral